UCGAGAAUCUUCCACAAUGGACGAAAGUCUGAUGGAGCGACGCCGCGUGAGUGAUGAAGGCCCUACGGGUUGUAAAACUCUGUCAGGAGAGAAGAAUCGCCGGGGUGCCAAUACCACCCUGGUCUGACGUUAUCUCCAGAGGAAGCUCCGGCUAACUCCGUGCCAGCAGCCGCGGUAAUACGGGGGGAGCAAGCGUUGUCCGGAAUUAU
This 209-nucleotide ribosomal RNA is filed under the name uncultured bacterium. Its description in RNAcentral is "partial 16S ribosomal RNA". It matches the Rfam family "Bacterial small subunit ribosomal RNA", at positions 355 to 554 of the family's 1533-position model. The record is from RNAcentral.